GCAGGCCCCAUGCAGGGAGCCCAACAUGGGACUUGAUGCUGGGUCUCCAGGAUCACACCCUGGGCUGAAGGCAGCGCUAAACCCCUGAGCCACCUGGGCUGCCCUAUAACCAAGGUCCUCAUCAAGGAAGUAUGGCCAGUUCUUCAAGGACUCGGCGCUGUUCCAGAUGCUGAGGAUACAGCAGAGGCAAGAAAGACAGAUAAGAACCAUGCCCUCCUGGAAGCCUCAUUCCAUACUACAAACAAUUCUACAUUAUAGCAAAUAAGAACAUGAGCAAGAUAACUGCAAAUAGUGACUCAUCAGCAUCUCUGUGAAGUAAGAUUCAAGGAUGAAGUCAAUAUGGAACUUCUCUAAGUUUUCAGGAACAGACCAAGGGCUUGGUUAUAAGCAGAUCUAAACACAAAACACUACAGAGAUAAACACCCCGAUUCAUUUUCCUCUGAGUUUUUUUUUUUUUUUUUUUUUUAAGGGACCUACUGCUUUACAUCCUGCAAAUUGUUCUCUUUGUUUCUCUUCUCCC
This 520-nucleotide long non-coding RNA is filed under the name Canis lupus familiaris (dog). RNAcentral describes it as "lncRNA (ENSCAFG00845011901.1)". The record is from RNAcentral. Lineage: Eukaryota; Metazoa; Chordata; Mammalia; Carnivora; Canidae.